Molecule: non-coding RNA, 264 nt
Organism: Vicia faba (fava bean)
Lineage: Eukaryota; Viridiplantae; Streptophyta; Magnoliopsida; Fabales; Fabaceae
Source: the annotation of a GenBank genome assembly
AUGAUUGAAGCCAACGCUGCCGAUUCAGUUCUGAUCAUAGCUCAAUGCCACCGUCUCAAACUCGCUCUCUUCUCACCUCCAUCGAGUUCUAUCUUCCUCGUUCUCGCAUUAUUAUCAAGUUGCGGUUGUGAUGUUGUUGAUGCAGGAAGGAGUUCGCAAAAGAUGAUGAAGAAAUGCUGCGACAAUGUUGUUGUGGUUAUUGUAGAAUCAAGAUGGAAGAGGGAACUGAAGAGUGAAGCUUCUCGUCCUUUGCUUGAAGGUUAG